GGAAGUGGUAGAUCAGUGGGUAAGACGUUGGACUUCUGAUUAGAAGGUCAUGAGUUCAAAUCUCAGCACCACCA
Non-coding RNA from Pangasius djambal, 74 nucleotides. The record is from the annotation of a GenBank genome assembly. NCBI's taxonomy places the organism in Eukaryota, Metazoa, Chordata, Actinopteri, Siluriformes, Pangasiidae.